GAUGAAGAACGUAGCGAAACGCGAUAUGUAAUGUGAAUUGCAGAAUUCAGUGAAUCAUCGAAUCUUUGAACGCACAUGGCGCCUUCCAGUAUCCUGGGAGGCAUGCCUGUCCGAGCGUCGUUUCAACCCUCGAGCCCCCGUGGCCCGGCGUUGGGGAUCUGCCCAGGCAGUCCCCGAAAACCAGUGGCGGACCCGUUACAGGCCCUUCCCUUGCGUAGUAGCAUUCGCCUCGCAUCGGGAGCCGGCGGGCUUCCAGCCUCUAAACCCCCAUCAAGUCCGCCCCGGCGGCACCAAGGUUGACCUCGAAUCAGGUAGGAAUACCCGCUGAACUUAAGCAUAUCAAUAAGCGGAUGA
RNAcentral lists this unclassified non-coding RNA (354 nucleotides) under soil metagenome. RNAcentral's name for it is "partial contains 5.8S ribosomal RNA, internal transcribed spacer 2, and large subunit ribosomal RNA". The stretch from base 1 to 120 matches the Rfam family "5.8S ribosomal RNA", at positions 35 to 154 of the family's 154-position model. The record is from RNAcentral.